This is a long non-coding RNA of Daphnia carinata, 674 nucleotides long. RefSeq lists it as uncharacterized. The record is from RefSeq and is a predicted model, not a curated record. Lineage: Eukaryota; Metazoa; Arthropoda; Branchiopoda; Diplostraca; Daphniidae. The transcript is spliced from 4 exons.
CAAAAAGUCUAAAGGUAAACACCACCUACUACUCGUUUCACCACCCUAUUAUUGAAAUUUCGUUGCUUCUAAAACCAUUUUUGCACAACGAAACUGUAUUUGGAGGAAGAACCUUAUGGUUAAAAUCGCAUGAAAUCUCGCGAAUGAAAUACAAAAAAUCAAAGAUCCAACACUGAAAUCCGUUCAAAGACCAGUUUCACAGACUACUACUGGAACUUUUAGUGAUGGCCCACCAGGAUUUACGAUCCGGAACAGGUAAAACUUUCCGUGGGCCGAGAAAGUUUCACCUUAUUGGCUGUAGUAGCCUGCAUCCAAUCGCAAGUAGACAUAUCAUAUCGUCAUAUUUAAGUUCCCCUCUACUAAGUACGCUACCACAGUGCGUCUGUCACCAAAAGUUAUAACUAGGGCAGUGGCAGACGGAAGCCUGAAGCAAUUUUUAGGAUUUACCGUCAAAAUCAUUUCCACAAAUCUUUCGGUAAACAACAAAUGCAAGUAAAGAAUGACAAGAUUGUAUUUGAUGCUUCACUAUUUGGCAAGAGGUUUCAAGCUGAAAUCGUGAGCCAUUCGGCACAAGUCACACCAGCCGCUCUUGGGUGAGAGAACCGCUUGAUAAACUUUCUUCCAUUCAAAGUAUCUCGAAUAGAAUUCCGGAUUUCUGUCGAGAAACAAAAGAU